UCUCUCUAUACUCUCCCGGCUGACUCUCUCUCUCUCUCUCACCUCUCCUCCAAACUUCUCUAUUUGAUUUCAUCGCCUUAGAAUGAGAUUUCGGAAAAAUCCCAAGAACUAAAGUUGUUCUACGCGAUGAGAUCUUCCUAUCAAUCCAAGAAGAAUCAUGAUCGGAGCACUUUGAGGUUUCUUCCAUGUUCGGGCUUGCUUCUAACCUUCGAGAUUGAACUCGAGGCAAAAAGGAAGAUGGAGAUGGUCGCAUUUGAAAGAAAUUGUUUGGCAUGCUUAGUGAGUCAUGUUUAUUUGAUUGGAAUUGGGAUUGUUAGCAUUGUGUCGUAAAAUGGACAUGUCUAGAGCUAGAGUCGGUGCAUAUUUUUUAGUAGAAACUGGUGUGUGUCCUAGAUCUUCAUGAUCAUGUGUUGAUGUGUAAUGUGAUAUCUGUCGCAAGAGUGUUGUUUAGUAGUUUGGGUAUGGAUGAAUCGACAUAGGAAAGGAGAAACAAGGUUAGAAAGGAAUCCUUAUUUAUUUUUGGUAUAAUGAACGCAAGUUUCUCAAGUUAAGAUUUUGUGUUUGUUGAAUGGUUGCAUAACUUCGAUCACAAGUGGUUUUGCGUGUAUUCAUUGAGGCAGAACGUUAUAGACUGUGGUUUAUCAAAUUUCGAGGACGAAAUUUCUUUAAGAAUGGUAGAAUGUAGAGACCCGUAUUUAUUUUAAUAAUUUUAAUGCGAGAUUAUACUAUGAAAUGUGAAAUAUGAUGUGAAUAUGAGAUUUGGGGUCAAUGUGGUAAGGUUGUUAGUGGAGGGGUGUGAGUGUGAUUGGUGUUGGUGCUAGUAUAAAUAGGUGGGGGUGGUGUGUAGAGAAGUAAAAAUUCUUUUUUUCUUUCUCUCUCUCUCUACUCUCACGGCCGACUCUCACUCUCUCUCACCUCUCCUCCAAACUUCUCUCUUCGAUUUCAUCGCCUCAGAAUGAGAUUUCGGAAAAUUCCCAAGUACUAAAGUUGUUCUACGCGAUGAGAUCUUCCUAUCGAUCCAAGAAGAAUCAUGAUAGGAGCUCUUUGAGGUUUCCUCCAUGUUCGGGCUUGCUUCUAACCUUCGAGGUACUCGCCAUGGCAUUUAGCUUGGAUUGCAUGGAGUGCACAUUGAAACUUCUCUUGAGAGCUUCAUUGGAAACAUUAAGGAGGUGUUUAUCAUCUAGUCUAAUUCAUGUUGUGUACUUUACUUGCAAUUGAAGGUUGUACCUUUUGGUUAGAACAUAUGUAAAGCUAUGUAUAAAUUCCUCCUCAUGAUUAUUGUGAAGCCCCAUUUUGUGGAAGACGUUUGGGAGACUCUAUGUAAAAAAAAAAAAAAUUAGAGAGAAGAAGAAGAGACUUUGAUUCUUUGUUU
Long non-coding RNA from Rhododendron vialii, 1372 nucleotides. RefSeq lists it as uncharacterized. The transcript has 3 exons. NCBI's taxonomy places the organism in Eukaryota, Viridiplantae, Streptophyta, Magnoliopsida, Ericales, Ericaceae. The record is from RefSeq and is a predicted model, not a curated record.